UACAUGCAGUCGAGCGAACAGACGAGGAGCUUGCUCCUCUGACGUUAGCGGCGGACGGGUGAGUAACACGUGGAUAACCUACCUAUAAGACUGGGAUAACUUCGGGAAACCGGAGCUAAUACCGGAUAAUAUAUUGAACCGCAUGGUUCAAUAGUGAAAGACGGUUUUGCUGUCACUUAUAGAUGGAUCCGCGCCGCAUUAGCUAGUUGGUAAGGUAACGGCUUACCAAGGCAACGAUGCGUAGCCGACCUGAGAGGGUGAUCGGCCACACUGGAACUGAGACACGGUCCAGACUCCUACGGGAGGCAGCAGUAGGGAAUCUUCCGCAAUGGGCGAAAGCCUGACGGAGCAACGCCGCGUGAGUGAUGAAGGUCUUCGGAUCGUAAAACUCUGUUAUUAGGGAAGAACAAAUGUGUAAGUAACUAUGCACGUCUUGACGGUACCUAAUCAGAAAGCCACGGCUAACUACGUGCCAGCAGCCGCGGUAAUACGUAGGUGGCAAGCGUUAUCCGGAAUUAUUGGGCGUAAAGCGCGCGUAGGCGGUUUUUUAAGUCUGAUGUGAAAGCCCACGGCUCAACCGUGGAGGGUCAUUGGAAACUGGAAAACUUGAGUGCAGAAGAGGAAAGUGGAAUUCCAUGUGUAGCGGUGAAAUGCGCAGAGAUAUGGAGGAACACCAGUGGCGAAGGCGACUUUCUGGUCUGUAACUGACGCUGAUGUGCGAAAGCGUGGGGAUCAAACAGGAUUAGAUACCCUGGUAGUCCACGCCGUAAACGAUGAGUGCUAAGUGUUAGGGGGUUUCCGCCCCUUAGUGCUGCAGCUAACGCAUUAAGCACUCCGCCUGGGGAGUACGACCGCAAGGUUGAAACUCAAAGGAAUUGACGGGGACCCGCACAAGCGGUGGAGCAUGUGGUUUAAUUCGAAGCAACGCGAAGAACCCUUACCAAAUCUUGACAUCCUCUGACCCCUCUAGAGAUAGAGUUUUCCCCUUCGGGGGACAGAGUGACAGGUGGUGCAUGAUUGUCGUCAGCUCGUGUC
This 1035-nucleotide ribosomal RNA is filed under the name uncultured bacterium. Its description in RNAcentral is "bacterial SSU rRNA". It matches the Rfam family "Bacterial small subunit ribosomal RNA", at positions 52 to 1066 of the family's 1533-position model. The record is from RNAcentral.